This 395-nucleotide ribosomal RNA is filed under the name uncultured bacterium. RNAcentral describes it as "partial 16S ribosomal RNA". It matches the Rfam family "Bacterial small subunit ribosomal RNA", at positions 355 to 767 of the family's 1533-position model. The record is from RNAcentral.
UGGGGAAUAUUGCACAAUGGGCGAAAGCCUGAUGCAGCAACGCCGCGUGAGUGAUGAAGGCCUUCGGGUUGAAAGCUCUGUCUUUUGGGACGAUAAUGACGGUACCAAAGGAGGAAGCCACGGCUAACUACGUGCCAGCAGCCGCGGUAAUACGUAGGUGGCAAGCGUUGUCCGGAUUUACUGGGCGUAAAAGGGAUGCGUAGGCGGAUUUUUAAGUGAGAUGUGAAAUACCCGGGCUUAACUUGGGUGCUGCAUUUCAAACUGGGAAUCUAGAGUGCGGGAGAGGAGAAUGGAAUUCCUAGUGUAGCGGUGAAAUGCGUAGAGAUUAGGAAGACACCAGUGGCGAAGGCGAUUCUCUGGACCGUAACUGACGCUGAGGCAUGAAAGCGUGGGUA